This 694-nucleotide ribosomal RNA is filed under the name Pterostichus cantabricus. RNAcentral describes it as "partial large subunit ribosomal RNA". The stretch from base 388 to 546 matches the Rfam family "Bacterial large subunit ribosomal RNA", at positions 2473 to 2632 of the family's 2925-position model. Lineage: Eukaryota; Metazoa; Arthropoda; Insecta; Coleoptera; Carabidae. The record is from RNAcentral.
UUGAAAUAUAUAUAAAGUCUAGCCUGCCCACUGAAAUUUUUAAAUGGCCGCAGUAUUUUGACUGUGCAAAGGUAGCAUAAUCAUUAGUUUUUUAAUUAAAAGCUUGUAUGAAAGGUUGGACGAAGUAAAAUCUGUCUCUAUUUAAUUUAAAUUAGAAUUUAAUUUUUAAGUUAAAAAGCUUAAAUUUUUNUAAAAGACGAGAAGACCCUAUAGAACUUUAUAAUUUAUUUANUAUAAUUAAUUAAGAUUUNUUUAAGUUUUAUUAUAUAUAAUUAUUUUAUUGGGGUAAUAGAAAGAUUAAAAAAAUUCUUUUUUUUUNUUNACAUUUAUUUAUGNUAAUAUAUUAAUGAUCCAUUUUUAAUGAUUAUAAGAUUAAGUUACCUUAGGGAUAACAGCGUAAUUUUUUUAAAGAGUUCAUAUCGAUAAAAAAGUUUGCGACCUCGAUGUUGGAUUAAAGAUUAGUUUAGGUGUAGAAGUUUAAAUUUUUGGUCUGUUCGACCAUUAAAUCUUUACAUGAUCUGAGUUCAGACCGGUGUAAGCCAGGUCGGUUUCUAUCUUUAUUAAAAUUAAAUAUUUUAGUACGAAAGGACCAAAUAUUUGAUAUAUUAAUAUUUAUUUUUUGAAUAUUAUUAAUUAUUUUGGCAGAUUAGUGCAAUGAAUUUAGAAUUCAUAUAUGUAAUUAUUUUUACAAGUA